CUUGUACUCCCUCUGUCCGAAAAUACUUGUCAUUGAAAUGGAUGUAUCUAGAUGUAUUUUAGUUCUAGACACAUCCAUUUUGAUGACAAGUAAUUCCGGACNAGACACAUCCAUUUUGAUGACAAGUAAUUCCGGACGGAGGGAGUACUUG
Molecule: non-coding RNA, 151 nt
Organism: Triticum aestivum (bread wheat)
Lineage: Eukaryota; Viridiplantae; Streptophyta; Magnoliopsida; Poales; Poaceae
Source: Rfam